RNAcentral lists this ribosomal RNA (1441 nucleotides) under uncultured organism. RNAcentral's name for it is "SSU rRNA". It matches the Rfam family "Bacterial small subunit ribosomal RNA". The record is from RNAcentral.
CGCUAGCUACAGGCUUAACACAUGCAAGUCGAGGGGCAUCAGGAAGAAAGCUUGCUUUCUUUGCUGGCGACCGGCGCACGGGUGAGUAACACGUAUCCAACCUGCCCUUUACUCGGGGAUAGCCUUUCGGAAGAAAGAUUAAUACCCGAUGGCAUAAUGAUUCCGCAUGGUUUCAUUAUUAAAGGAUUCCGGUAAAGGAUGGGGAUGCGUUCCAUUAGGUUGUUGGUGAGGUAACGGCUCACCAAGCCUUCGAUGGAUAGGGGUUCUGAGAGGAAGGUCCCCCACAUUGGAACUGAGACACGGUCCAAACUCCUACGGGAGGCAGCAGUGAGGAAUAUUGGUCAAUGGGCGCUAGCCUGAACCAGCCAAGUAGCGUGAAGGAUGAAGGCUCUAUGGGUCGUAAACUUCUUUUAUAUAAGAAUAAAGUGCAGUAUGUAUACUGUUUUGUAUGUAUUAUAUGAAUAAGGAUCGGCUAACUCCGUGCCAGCAGCCGCGGUAAUACGGAGGAUCCGAGCGUUAUCCGGAUUUAUUGGGUUUAAAGGGAGCGUAGGUGGACUGGUAAGUCAGUUGUGAAAGUUUGCGGCUCAACCGUAAAAUUGCAGUUGAUACUGUCAGUCUUGAGUACAGUAGAGGUGGGCGGAAUUCGUGGUGUAGCGGUGAAAUGCUUAGAUAUCACGAAGAACUCCGAUUGCGAAGGCAGCUCACUGGACUGCAACUGACACUGAUGCUCGAAAGUGUGGGUAUCAAACAGGAUUAGAUACCCUGGUAGUCCACACAGUAAACGAUGAAUACUCGCUGUUUGCGAUAUACAGUAAGCGGCCAAGCGAAAGCAUUAAGUAUUCCACCUGGGGAGUACGCCGGCAACGGUGAAACUCAAAGGAAUUGACGGGGGCCCGCACAAGCGGAGGAACAUGUGGUUUAAUUCGAUGAUACGCGAGGAACCUUACCCGGGCUUAAAUUGCAGUGGAAUGAUGUGGAAACAUGUCAGUGAGCAAUCACCGCUGUGAAGGUGCUGCAUGGUUGUCGUCAGCUCGUGCCGUGAGGUGUCGGCUUAAGUGCCAUAACGAGCGCAACCCUUAUCUUUAGUUACUAACAGGUUAUGCUGAGGACUCUAGAGAGACUGCCGUCGUAAGAUGUGAGGAAGGUGGGGAUGACGUCAAAUCAGCACGGCCCUUACGUCCGGGGCUACACACGUGUUACAAUGGGGGGUACAGAAGGCAGCUAGCGGGUGACCGUAUGCUAAUCCCAAAAGCCUCUCUCAGUUCGGAUCGAAGUCUGCAACCCGACUUCGUGAAGCUGGAUUCGCUAGUAAUCGCGCAUCAGCCACGGCGCGGUGAAUACGUUCCCGGGCCUUGUACACACCGCCCGUCAAGCCAUGGGAGCCGGGGGUACCUGAAGUACGUAACCGCAAGGAUCGUCCUAGGGUAAAACUGGUGACUGG